AAGUCGUAACAAGGUUUCCGUAGGUGAACUUGCGGAAGGAUCAUUAACACGUAUCCGAACGUUAAACCCCCCCCCGUUCUUCUCAACAGGCACAUUAUUGAUUCAAUGACUACGAUUGGCUGCAAGAAAUGCGAGCUCGAAGCAACAGCGGUAAAGCAAUAACUUGUCUGAAAGUGUCAUUUAUUGUGUAAGCCGGCGCUUAAGCGUGCGACUGGAGACCAUCACGGCCAGUGCCUGUUCCGGAUCCUCGUGGUCCCCUACCACAUAAAUUACGACGUCAGUGGUGCGAGGGCCAAGUGGCCUGCCGCACCGAACGCACAACUGUUAACAAUGGAUAUCUUGGUUCUC
Molecule: unclassified non-coding RNA, 348 nt
Filed under: fungal sp.
Lineage: Eukaryota; Fungi
Description: partial internal transcribed spacer region
Rfam family: Eukaryotic small subunit ribosomal RNA (bases 1-46)
Source: RNAcentral